RNAcentral lists this ribosomal RNA (180 nucleotides) under uncultured bacterium. RNAcentral describes it as "partial 16S ribosomal RNA". It matches the Rfam family "Bacterial small subunit ribosomal RNA", at positions 338 to 515 of the family's 1533-position model. The record is from RNAcentral.
CCUACGGGAGGCAGCAGUGAGGAAUAUUGGUCAAUGGGCGAGAGCCUGAACCAGCCAAGUAGCGUGCAGGAAGACGGCCCUAUGGGUUGUAAACUGCUUUUAUAAGGGAAUAAAGUGGGUCACGUGUGACCUUUUGCAUGUACCUUAUGAAUAAGGACCGGCUAAUUCCGUGCCAGCAGC